AGAGUUUGAUCCUGGCUCAGGACGAACGCUGGCGGCGUGCUUAACACAUGCAAGUCGAACGGAAAGGCCCUUCGGGGUACUCGAGUGGCGAACGGGUGAGUAACACGUGGGUGAUCUGCCCUGCACUUUGGGAUAAGCCUGGGAAACUGGGUCUAAUACCGAAUAUGACCAUGCGCCUCCUGGUGUGUGGUGGAAAGCUUUUGCGGUGUGGGAUGGGCCCGCGGCCUAUCAGCUUGUUGGUGGGGUAAUGGCCUACCAAGGCGACGACGGGUAGCCGGCCUGAGAGGGUGACCGGCCACACUGGGACUGAGAUACGGCCCAGACUCCUACGGGAGGCAGCAGUGGGGAAUAUUGCACAAUGGGCGCAAGCCUGAUGCAGCGACGCCGCGUGAGGGAUGACGGCCUUCGGGUUGUAAACCUCUUUCAGCACAGACGAAGCGCAAGUGACGGUAUGUGCAGAAGAAGGACCGGCCAACUACGUGCCAGCAGCCGCGGUAAUACGUAGGGUCCGAGCGUUGUCCGGAAUUACUGGGCGUAAAGAGCUCGUAGGUGGUUUGUCGCGUUGUUCGUGAAAACUCACAGCUUAACUGUGGGCGUGCGGGCGAUACGGGCAGACUUGAGUACUGCAGGGGAGACUGGAAUUCCUGGUGUAGCGGUGGAAUGCGCAGAUAUCAGGAGGAACACCGGUGGCGAAGGCGGGUCUCAGGGCAGUAACUGACGCUGAGGAGCGAAAGCGAGGGGAGCGAACAGGAUUAGAUACCCUGGUAGUCC
This 771-nucleotide ribosomal RNA is filed under the name uncultured bacterium. RNAcentral describes it as "bacterial SSU rRNA". It matches the Rfam family "Bacterial small subunit ribosomal RNA", at positions 8 to 796 of the family's 1533-position model. The record is from RNAcentral.